RNAcentral lists this ribosomal RNA (450 nucleotides) under uncultured bacterium. Its description in RNAcentral is "bacterial SSU rRNA". It matches the Rfam family "Bacterial small subunit ribosomal RNA", at positions 355 to 825 of the family's 1533-position model. The record is from RNAcentral.
UCGAGAAUCUUUCACAAUGGGCGAAAGCCUGAUGGAGCGACGCCGCGUGGAGGAUGAAGGCCUUCAGGUUGUAAACUCCUGUCAUGAGGGAACAAGAAAGUGAUAGUACCUCAAGAGGAAGAGACGGCUAACUCUGUGCCAGCAGCCGCGGUAAUACAGAGGUCUCAAGCGUUGUUCGGAUUUACUGGGCGUAAAGGGUGCGUAGGCGGUGGCGUAAGUCGAGUGUGAAAUCUUCCGGCCUAACCGGAAAACUGCACUCGAUACUGCGUCACUAGAGGACUGUAGAGGAGACUGGAAUUCACGGUGUAGCAGUGAAAUGCGUAGAUAUCGUGAGGAAGACCGGUGGCGAAAGCGAGUCUCUGGGCAGUUCCUGACGCUGAGGCACGAAGGCUAGGGGAGCAAACGGGAUUAGAUACCCAGGUAGUCCCUGAGCGGGCUGGCAAGGCGCAU